GCCAUUUCCGCGCUGGCUCUUCGGGUCGCAACCGCACGAUUCCAACUUGCCCUGGCCGCAAGCCUUUGAUACGGAAUGAGCCACUCCAGCGGAGGAAACGGCGUACGCGAACGCUGUUUCCCGAUAACCUAAAUGUUGGACAUUCGCUGGAUGUUGAGGUGACAUCCUUAUCGGAUUGAACGUUUGUACGGUGAUGAUAUCUUUGGGCCCACUAAGCCGCAAAGGAGAUGGACAAGACCACAAAAAAAAAAAAAAAUGGAAUAACAUCUGGAUGGGAAAAUAGCUGUGUUAAAUCUCAGUGUAAAAGAUCCACGAACAUUUUUUUUUUUACUCGCUUGAAGAAGCAACUCACUAUAGCAAAAAUAACGAAGCUUUUGGAGUGCGCCAUUGUCCGUUUAUAACUUGACAUUUACCACACAAGAAGCUCUAGCCGCUUGUAUAGGCGGAUAAAAUGCAGCCCCGGAUGAUUACACGUUACAACGCACAUUGAUCCCCAUGUUAUUCACCUUCAUUUCUGCGCUACGGUAUAAGAAGGGAAGCUGAAAUAAGAUGCGCAAUCACUUUUCAAGGUUCAACCGUGGCAUGUUCAAAACCUUCAAGCACGACAACGUCUAGAAGCCAUUUCUAGACGUAGUUUUAAAAAUGGCUUACUUGGCAUAUCCGUUUCUGGAAAAACAGGCCAUUUAAAAUUAUCAAUGAUUAGCGUGACUACACAGCCGAUUUUCAAAAUUCCGCUGAGAGGAUAGGAGGAUGAAAUGAGACCCAGACCGGAGUCGGUAUUAUCAAGCGUGAUUUACAAAAUUCCACGAAAAUAUCGUUGCCUUUUAGUUUUUUUUCUUUUUCUUUUUAGGGUUCUUCUACAUACAUUGGGACGCAAUAACUAAUUUAUACAUAACACCGUAGCCGUGGCCCUUUCCCCCCACCAUCAGCCAGAUGAAGGCCUCAUGUGUAUGCGGAUGAUGAUGAUGCUAAUCGCGAGACUACCCAAAGAAAUGCAAAGAUGAAAACAGCAGCAGGUCGCGGUUCGUUCCCGAAAGAAAAAAAAUGUAUAAAUAUUUCUUUCUAAGACAACAUUUUUUUUUCGGCUUCAUCAUGCUCUUAUUGAUCGAUUGUGCUCUGUCUUUUCUCUCACUCGAAUCUUAAUCGACCGACGUGGGCCCCCGUGUAGCUUUUUUUUCAUUUUCCGCUUUUGUGUGUGUGUGUUGCUGCUUUUUUCUUAGACUCAUUCUUCUUUGAUCCCCUUCUUUUCUUCUAUUUCUGACCCCUCUGUUGAGUGUAUUAUCCAGAUCAUCAGAGCCAGUUUGAAUGGUCAGACCACCCAGCCGAACAUGCAUCCGUAUCUGCCACGACGUGCACACAAAAGAAAUAACAUCCUCGAAAGAACGGACUUCCAUGUUAUUCUUGAUUUCGUUUUUGGCUUUUGUUCCUAUUUUCUUUUAUCCUUAUUCUUUCCCCCCUCCAUUUCUGACUAUUGUACGUGUUGCGAGAGUUCCAGGUGGACCCCGCUAGUCAAAUUCUGAUGUCCGAGAAAAGCGCAUCACGUCAUAAAAAUAAAGAAGACAUCCAUUAUAGACUAGCGCAAGAAGAUAAAGAUGGCAAUAUAAUUAAUGGACUUGGCAAACCCGAAGCCGUUCCGCUACUAGUUCAUUGAGAACGAUCUGUCAAGAUCUGCAUAUUUUUCUCUCUCUGAAAAAAAAAAAUGCGCCGAUUGCAUCCAUCAUUGAAUCGCAAGGGCUUUCAUUAUAGAAACACGACCGCUGAGCGCGUUUGCUAACGUCGACAAGAGGCUACCAGUCCUAGUCAGCAUAGAUUACGUCUGUCCACCACAUGAGACGAACAAGACCUUAUCCAAACAAAAAAAAAAAAUAAUAAUGCUCUAUUCUAAAGAAACAUAAAUUUGGAUAUGUCCGGUGGAUGCGAGGAAGGAAAGGCAAAAUGCGAGAGAUAGCCAUGAGAAUUGAGACAUGACCACGUAGAAAAAGAAAACGAAAGCUUCUGAGCUUUACGCAGAUGUCACUCUCUUUUCGGAGUAGCCUCUCACAUCUCUCAUGAAAAACGUAGAAACCGUUACCAGCUGACGAAUCUCUAAUUGUGUGUUAGCUAGCGACGUGAGUCAAUCGAUUCGACACGGUCGGGACCCUUUUUGCCAGCUGAAAUCUGUGCGGUGUUGAGCUUCUCUUGUGUGGCGUUUACAUGAAACGUUUACAUUAUAAAUACACAUAGAACUCGAAAAAAAAAAAAAGGAUGAAAAGCCCUCGACUACCAAUACAAGUAGGCAUUUCUCAAACGUCUUAGCUCUAUCUGGUUUAAUAAGCGACAUUCUUCGGAGACAGAGAAAGAAAGGUGGCACAUGCAACAAGCUGCUGCUUACUAUCGCGUCACGUUCACAUACAGCCAUUUCAAUGGUCCAGGACGAGGGGGGGCUACAAUAGACACGGACCUCUUGGUUACAUUCAGAAGAAACAGAGAGAAGAAAACCAGUCUGGGGGGUUUCUUGUCAAAAGCGAACCAAGCGCGUCCAUUCAUCCCGAUGAAAUACUUUUUUGUAUGUGUGUGUGUAUGUUGCUCUUGUGCGUCUUGUUGAUGUGAAGAAAUCGUCUGCGUCCCCCCUCUACCUUUAACCAAAAAAAAAAAGCCAAGGAAAACUUGCUCGCUCACUGAUGAUUGUCUGCCAUGACGCUUUAGGGUUUCCUUUCUCUCUCUCUUGUUUGAUAACCAUCGCUUUUGUGUGUGUGUGUGUGUGUUGUUUUCUUCGUUAUUUGGUUGACGUCUUGUUCUUCCUUUCAUCGAUAAUAGUAACAGCUUGGGGGGUUCAACGCAUUGUUCGAUGCUUACGAAAUAUCCAAUUGCCAUCGUAGCACAACGUUUCGAAGGCGAGAUCCAUCAGUAAAUGGAAAAGAAUGAGGCGGAAUCGGAUUAUUACAACCAAGGCUAUAUCGCUGAUGGCUUAUCAUCUUCUCUCCGCACAUUGGCUUGCAUAUCGAGUAACCGGUAAUGGCUUUUUAUGUACAAAUUAUUUUUUUGUUUUAGUUCUUAAAAUACAGA
Long non-coding RNA from Daphnia magna, 3045 nucleotides. RefSeq lists it as uncharacterized. The record is from RefSeq and is a predicted model, not a curated record. Lineage: Eukaryota; Metazoa; Arthropoda; Branchiopoda; Diplostraca; Daphniidae. The transcript is spliced from 5 exons.